CCUACGGGAGGCAGCAGUGAGGAAUAUUGGUCAAUGGACGAGAGUCUGAACCAGCCAAGUAGCGUGAAGGAUGACUGCCCUAUGGGUUGUAAACUUCUUUUAUAUGGGAAUAAACUGUUCCACGUGUGGGAUUUUGUAUGUACCAUAUGAAUAAGGAUCGGCUACCACCGUGCCAGCAGCCGCGGUAAUACGGAGGAUCCGAGCGUUAUCCGGAUUUAUUGGGUUUAAAGGGAGCGUAGGUGGAUUGUUAAGUCAGUGGUGAAAUUUCGCAGCUCAACCUGAAAACUGCAGUUGAAACUGGCAGUCUUGAGAACAGUAGAGGUAGGCGGAAUGCGUGGUGUAGCGGUGAAAUGCUUAGAGAUCACAAAGAACUCCGAUUGCGAAGGCAGCUCACUGGACUGCAACUGACGCUGAGGCUCGAAAGUGUGGGUAUCAAACAGGAUUAGAUACCCGGGUAGUC
This 460-nucleotide ribosomal RNA is filed under the name uncultured bacterium. RNAcentral describes it as "partial 16S ribosomal RNA". It matches the Rfam family "Bacterial small subunit ribosomal RNA", at positions 338 to 795 of the family's 1533-position model. The record is from RNAcentral.